UACGUAGGGUGCAAGCGUUAAUCGGAAUUACUGGGCGUAAAGCGUGCGCAGGCGGUUAUGUAAGACAGGUGUGAAAUCCCAGGGCUUAACCUUGGAACUGCAUUUGUGACUGCAUAGCUAGAGUACGGUAGAGGGGGAUGGAAUUCCGCGUGUAGCAGUGAAAUGCGUAGAUAUGCGGAGGAACACCGAUGGCGAAGGCAGCCCCCUGGGCCAAUACUGACGCUCAUGCACGAAAGCGUGGGGAGCAAACAGG
Molecule: ribosomal RNA, 253 nt
Filed under: uncultured bacterium
Lineage: Bacteria
Description: partial 16S ribosomal RNA
Rfam family: Bacterial small subunit ribosomal RNA
Source: RNAcentral